UACGGGGGGGGCAAGCGUUGUUCGGAAUUACUGGGCGUAAAGGGCUCGUAGGUGGCCAACUAAGUCAGACGUGAAAUCCCUCGGCUUAACCGGGGAACUGCGUCUGAUACUGGUGGGCUUGAAUUCGGGAGAGGGAUGCAGAAUUCCAGGUGUAGCGGUGAAAUGCGUAGAUAUCUGGAGGAAUACCGGUGGCGAAGGCGGCAUCCUGGACCGACAUUGACGCUGAGGAGCGAAAGCUAGGGGAGCGAACGGG
Molecule: ribosomal RNA, 253 nt
Filed under: uncultured bacterium
Lineage: Bacteria
Description: partial 16S ribosomal RNA
Rfam family: Bacterial small subunit ribosomal RNA
Source: RNAcentral